Manis javanica (Malayan pangolin) is the source of this 6295-nucleotide long non-coding RNA. RefSeq lists it as uncharacterized. The record is from RefSeq and is a predicted model, not a curated record. NCBI's taxonomy places the organism in Eukaryota, Metazoa, Chordata, Mammalia, Pholidota, Manidae.
GGCUGAGGUUGUAGCGCGCCCGCAGCUCUUGCUGCCGCAGUUCCAGCCGCUGCCGCUCGAUCAUCUCGGGCUCAGACUCCAGCGCGUCGAAGACCGCGGCGCCCACCAGCAGGUUUAUGGCUUCUGAGAAGUAAGCAGAGGCAGCCUGUUCUCAGCACCAAACACAAUAAUUAUAAUAGCACUUGCAAUGAUUAAUCAGUCACUCUGAAAGUGGGAUGGCCUUGCUGGAGCAGACCGUGGGGACCACCUGACUUCCAGCUUUCCCUGGCCUUGGUGAUCUCAGAUGUCUGGUGUUCACAUAAUUAGACCAAAGCCUCAGUCUGUCCUCAAAGAGGAGACUGGGUGCUGAUUGCAACCAGUGGUCUUGCUAGGCCAUGCACAGCUUCUGGGCAUUUGCUGGGGGGAAGAGAAGCAAUCUUGAUUCAGGUGCUGGGGUUGAGGAAAACUGAUUCUCUUGGAUCAGGCUGGCAGGGAAGAGAAGAAGGGAGUGGGAUGUUGGGGGGCAGGGGCACAAAGCAGGCCUCGAUGGCUAUGCUCCUCAGAGCCCUGCAUUAAUCAUUUGCCAGGAGAGAUGCUAUGAGGAAGAAGCCACCUUAUUCCCCAUAUUAUUCUGGGAGUGGAGAGAAGGGAAGGCUAGACCAGGAGGCUGCUGGAAAGCCUGGAGUGCCAGCCUAAGAAACCUACAUGGCUACAUGGAGGGGCACCAAGUGAAUGUGGCUGGAGCUAUUCCACCAUGAGACCAGGGCCCUCCCAGUCAAGCCGCUUUCCUAAGCUGGCCUCCUGUCUUGUGCGAUCCACCCACCCUGCACUCCUGGCCUCAUCCGCCUUGCUCAGCUUAGGCCUCUUUGCACCAGCCAUUCUGUGUUCUUUGAAAUGCCUCCAAAUACUCUGGGCUCUUUCUUGCUUUUCUGCCAAAAAUGCAUAUUAUUGAGGGCACAUAUAUAAUUAUACUUAGUGCUCCUAACAGCCCUCUGAAUGGCAGCAUUCCUGUUUUACAGAUGAGAACACUGAGGCUCAAGCAAAGCAACUUGUCUAAGCUCUUAGAGGUAAAUAGAUGACAGAUUCAGGAUUCAAACUCAGAUCAGUUUGAUUCCAGAGUCAGUGCAUUCACUCUUCCGCCACACUCCCUCACUAGAAAAUUAUUGAGGGUGGAGCUAGGCAGCAGUAGGGAAACAGAUUAGAAUGUGCUAUGAACACAGGGCUUGGCACUUAGCUAGAGCUCAAAAAAAUACUAGCUGUGUGAAUGAAUGACUAGCUUAGAGAAGAGGCUGUAGGAAGGGCCUGGACCCAGCACCUGGGUUUGCCCCAGGAGGAACAGAUGCUUGACUUACUUUAUGUAGGAAACAGAGCAGAACUGUGGGUGAUGUCAAGUGACUUCAGCUUGCACAGGGGCCAGGAGACAGGAAUAAACUGGAUUUGGUGACUGAUCUAAGGUAGAGAUGAGGGAGGAAGCCAAGUGUCCAUCACCUAGCCCAGGUAGGGUCUGAGAAGUGCCUCCACAGCUGUGCAUGGGCUCAAGGAUGCCUUUGAAUGGGGUGCCUGGCAUCUCCAGCACACAAGUGAUCUGAAGGGGAAGAGACCAUCCACCCACAUGGAUGGGGGUUGCUUGGCACUGGGUCAUUCUGGGGAGGUACAGGCAGGUACCUGGGCUCUGUGCUGUGCACAUCUCAGGUGACCAGAGAUGGUGCAGUCCAGUGACCCAUGGAAUCCACAGCAAGUCAGGGAGAUGGAGAUCAGCUGAGAGUUAGCACUCAGGCAGAAGGGCAACAAGCCAUCAGGGAGAUGGAAAAAGUGAUGUCGUUAAGGAACAAUGUGGCCAAAGGAAUGAGCUGUAACUUGCUGGACCCAAAGGACAAAUGGGAAAACAGCUGCCAGAGGCCCAGGGGUGUCUGAUGAUGGCCUGACACUGCCCUGGGGAGGGACUGAGCUCCAGCACAGAAACCAGAAGAGAAUCACUCCAUAGGCUCUAUGGAUCUUUUCUAUCUGCUAAUACUUUGCCAAGCAAACCGUCUGGCCUAUUAAUAAAGGCUUGACGAAUUGAGUCAGGACAGGCCUGGCCAGAGGACUCUGCCCUGUUGCAACUGAGUGGAUCUAAGGGGGCAGUUAUGAGGCAGAGGAAAGAUCUUGGGGUCCAGGGUUGGCAUCCCUGGGUUGAUCCUGCCCCUGUCUGGUGUAUGACCUGCCUUCUUUCAAUGGGUUGGGAGGAUUGUGCCUCUGUUCCCCUCUUCCUGGAUUAGGGCUGGGGAAAACCAACCCCACACCAUAGUCCAGGGAGGAAACCAGGCUUAAGGGAAAGGGAAAGGGGCUUCCUGGGUCUGGCCUAGGGUGGGUGAGCCAUCGAAGGACUGAGCUCAUUAGAGGCCGGCAAGACACUCAGUGGAAAUUUAGAAUCUUGAAAUGAGUGCCAAAGAGAACUUAUGUAUGUGUCUGAGUUGGGGGUGAGGUCAUCUGAUCUAUAUCCUGUUAACGGGUGAGGAAACAGGCCCAGAGAAGGACAGGGUCAAGAGCAUGCAAUGUGAUGAUGUCACUUGGGUCUUGAUUGAGUUUGGAUCCCAUUGCUGGUUUCCUAAUAAGAAAAAUCUCUGCCUAGCAAAGAGAUAAUGGGGUUCCAGGCAAUGGCUAGGGAACUGGACUUGAGCAGAAGUACUUGUGUUGACCUUUGGAAUCUGGAGAAACCAUGACCUGCUUUUUAAUUGUGGUCAAAAUUGUUUGGAGCCCAAUUUGCCUGGUGAAACUCCUGCUCACUUCCUGCUACCCUGCAGGGCCUGGCUUUCUGCAGAGUUUAGGGGAUUUUGUAAAACUCUCCUGGGAGUUUUGGGCCAGGGAGCUUUGGGGUCUAAUGGGCUGGGGCUCCAAGAGCUGAUUGAUCUCCAGGGGCUUGACAGGGGGAUACAAAUGGCCACACCAAGGCCUCUGUCCUCUCACAAAUGGUGAUCCAGACACACACUCUCCUGUUUGCACCCAAACUCAGUCUUAAGAGCACAUUCAGUGCACAUGUGGCCCCACGAUUAUUUUUCCAAGGAGCGAGGAUGGUUCCAAGGUCCACCCAGACAGUAGAUGGGUCAGGUGGGACUCCAGAGUUGUUGCCCAUGACACAGCACAGUUUGUGCAUCUUCUUCCUCCCUCUGCACAUACCUCUAGAGCCUCCCUCAGCCCCUGUGGUCCUCACUGCCAGGCCAGGGCCCCUGAACUCCUCCAGCUUCAAGCCCCACUUCUCGCCUCCCGUGACGGAGCUCCUGCAUUCUUGGGCUGGACCAGCCUUCUCCCUAAGAGUGGGGAGAGGGAUACAGGAAAGGAGACCCUGUACUUCUGACUGGAGACAGAGGGAAGCAGAGGCACGCAGCUGGCCUGAGCCAAGGCCAGGAUCCAAUGCUCCUGUCUCCAGCUUCAGCAAGAGAGUCUAGAGCAGCAGGCAAGGGCAGCAGACGGAGCAGCAACGUUCUGUUUCCUUAAGCUCCCAGCUGGGACUGAGAACACCAAAUCCUCUUUGAAAAAAACAGAAUAGGGAUUUUUAAAAAUCAAGAUAUUAACCUUUUGAAACUGGACACUCCCCCCACCCCUCCACUGUAGAGAGAUUAAGUUCUUUCCUAAGCAUUUUUUUUUCAUUUCUAUAAACAUCUUUAAUUCAUGCCGACAUCAUGGCCAGCUUGGAUUAUGGAUGGAUGGAGAGAUGAAUGGCCUUGUCUCAGCACAUAUGCAUGCGUGCAUACACGUACAUACACACCCACACCUAGAGUAGCAGAAAGAGCACGGAGGAGGAGCUGAAGACCUGGGUUUUAUUUCCAGCACCACCACUGAACCCUGAACUUCAGUUUCCUCAUCUGUAAAGGGGGUGGUUGGACCAGCGGGUUUCUAAGAGUCCUUGACAUCCCGUAGUCUGGAGCGUCCUGGGCUGCGGGGGCUGCCCCCCUUGCCUAGUUCCCUCUCCUUCCUCCACCACAGUUUCUCAAGGGCCCUCUAUGUUUCUCCCAGAACUUCUCUGACGGCCUUCAGGCCUGGCCACAAGCACUGGAGGGAGGGCUGGGGAAGCAUGCGUUCUGGCUCUGUGUGGAGCCAGAGCUGUUUUUAUGGUUAUUUCAGCUCUGCUGUAAAUGCAGUCAUGUGUAGAGCAGCCAGCAGGAGACUCAGCAAACUGUAGGUGCUUCCCAAAGCCCACUCUGUCUCCUUUAGCCUCCCUCUUUUUAGUUCACCUGGAUGCCCAUCCCCACCUGAGGCCAGGUUCCCUUCAUCUGCCAGAGUCACUGAAGAAACCACGUUGUUCUUUUUCUAGUUUCAGGUUCCCCUAAGCCUCUGCCAUGUGGCUCUACUCUGAACCCUUGAAUGGUUCCCAUUGCUUUCAGGAUGAAGACCUGGACUCCUACCUCUCCAUCCUGGCUUCAAGGUCCACUUGCCUCAUCCCUCUGGGCUUUUAGAGCCUUCUUUCAGUCCCCAAACAUGCUGUGGUCCUUCCAUCUCAGCCCCCAAGUGAAUCCUACCUGUGCCCUGACUCACCCCUGUCUGUACCUGGAGCAAUCCCCUGAUGGUCCCCUCCCCAGGAACAUCAUCCUUGACCCCAGGUUAGGGCCCUCAUGCUCUGAUCCUCUGGCUCCCCUCUCCUCCCCAAUGAUUAUCAUAACAUUAUCAUAACAAAAAGACCAGUUACAUCUCAGGCGCUGGACGUCAGUCUCCCCCACUAGACCACAAGUCCCAGGAGGGCAGGGACAGGUAGGUGUGUCUGUUUGGUUCAACACUGUCUCCCCAGCACCUGCUCUAUGUCUAGUGCUCGAUACGUACUUGAGUAAAUGAAUGAGUGGCAUCUAAAAUUGCUCUCUCUAAACGCACCCGAAACUGGGCGCAGCACCUCCCAUGCAGUCAGGGCAUAAAAUUCCUUAAAAUAGCUUCACUCUUCUCUGGAUAGAUAGCUGAUCUUCUCCAAAGCUUCCCCCUUUUCUUUCCUGACUCCACAGAUUCCCAAAAUUCAAAUUCUUUUUGAACUUGUCUCUGACCUGCCAACAUCAUCAGCCUGAUCAAACAACAGAAUUCCUAUCCACAUUUCAGUUCCUUCCAUCUUCUCUGACAAGCCCAAUCACCUCUGCACCUUGAUUAUGCUCUGUUCUUGAGGCUGCAGCCAGCUGCAGUUAUUCUGCACAUUGGGAGGAGGGUAGUUCUAGACUAGCCCUGGCCCGGUGAGGACCAGGAGAGAGGUGCUGACUGUCCUCAAUGGCCUUGGGUAGAGGUGGGCCAUUGCAGGGGUCUAGUUCUGGCUGGAGCAGAGGUUAUGGGAAUCCCUAGUUGUCAUUUUAGUCAAUCCUCUUCAGGGUAUGCUCAUAGAACAACAGUUCCUUGAGAUGUUCUUUGAAAGAAAGAAUCUUCCCAAAUACAUUUGGGAAGCUCUGAACAUCACUUAUAGUUAGCUCUUGUUUGCAAGCAUCAGAAGCCAACUCUGCUAACUUAAGCUUAAAAGAGAUUCAUCCCAAGGAUCUUGGUCAGAAAACCAAGGUCAGAGGCAAAGCAGCCAGGAACAAUGUCCAGAGUCAUGCUGUAGGAUCAGCCCCUAGAAGACCCCACUGCUGCCACUGCUGGGCACAGACACUUUAGCUUAUGCCACCAGUUCCACCAACACUGAACCUCUAGAACCAUCCACCUCUAGAACCAUCAUCAGUGUGGCCUAUGGAGACAGAUUUUAGCUGCUGCCCCCUUCCUCGCCAGAGAGGGUUCUGCAUAGUCCCUGCUGCUUUGCAUCAGACAUUUUGGGUUCAAAGCCUGGGGAAAUGCAUCUUGUUGGUAGACUGAGGUCAUGUGCCUGUACCCUUAGCUCCAGAGAGGCUAGGACAAUGUCAACUGGCCACCUUCAGCUUCUGUACUGGGAGGCAGUCAUGACUUCUCAAUAUUGGGGAAAUCCUCACAAAUAGGAAGGGAGAAAAGAAACUGUGUGGCCUUAAAGAGUGACAACUCUUCCUUGCGCUGUGGACUCUAGAAACUUCCCUUGGGAGUUUGCAGUGCUCCAGGGCAGCUCCAGUUUCUCACUCUCAGCACGUUGACUUUGUCGGGGGGCUGUUCUGGGCACUGCAGGUGUUUAGCAGCAUCCAGACCUCUACCCACUAGAUGUCAGGAGCACUCCUCCAGUUAUAACAACUAAAAAUGGCUAACCAAGUUACCAAAUGUCCCCUGGGGGAUGAAUGUGCCCCCAGCUGAAAACUACUGUUCUAGGUCUGCAGUUCAUUUGUAGUAGAUUUGAGGAGCCAGGAUUAAUUUAACCUGGUAUCCCAAACUUAUUUGACCAUGGAAAAAAUUUUGUUUUUCUCUAACACCCUUU